This 72-nucleotide transfer RNA is filed under the name Chloroflexota bacterium. RNAcentral describes it as "Chloroflexi bacterium tRNA-Arg". It matches the Rfam family "tRNA". Rfam says of the family: Transfer RNA (tRNA) molecules are approximately 80 nucleotides in length. Their secondary structure includes four short double-helical elements and three loops (D, anti-codon, and T loops). Lineage: Bacteria; Bacillati; Chloroflexota. The record is from RNAcentral.
GCCCCCGUAGCUCAGGGGAUAGAGCGCUGGUUUCCGGAACCAGGUGCACAGGUUCGAAUCCUGUCGGGGGUG